AGAGAUCCGCUGCCAUUUCCUCCCCCAGGCCUAUCAUUCUAGACCCAGCUGACCCCACCAACAACCUAGGAAGAAGAGGAAAAUGGGAACUGGUGGCCAAAGAAGCUACUUACUGCCUGCUACAGUUGUGUUGUGUGACUGCAGACCGCUGGAAUGUUCAGGAAAAGUUGGUAUUUGUCCGCAAAGGUGGCCCCACUGCAAAUGAAGCCAAGGGUAGACAGAUAGGGUCUGACAGUUGCCUGCCAUCUGGCCAUCAAGUGCCAAUGGCUGAGAAUGUCCCCAAAACCAAAAGGACUCUUGGGAAGCAAGGAAAAAUGAAAUAAAAACAAUCUACCUGG
This 338-nucleotide long non-coding RNA is filed under the name Rattus norvegicus (Norway rat). Its description in RNAcentral is "long non-coding RNA NONRATT008068". Lineage: Eukaryota; Metazoa; Chordata; Mammalia; Rodentia; Muridae. The record is from RNAcentral.